AUACGGAGGAUGCGAGCGUUAUCCGGAUUUAUUGGGUUUAAAGGGUGCGUAGGCGGACAAAUAAGUCAGUGGUGAAAUCACUCAGCUUAACUGAGUAACCGCCAUUGAUACUGUUAGUCUAGAAUGUAAAUGGAGUAGGCGGAAUGAAUCAUGUAGAGGUGACAUUCAUAGAUAUGAUUCAGAACACCGAUCGCGAAGGCAGCUUGCUAAGAUACAAUUGACGCUGAGGCACGAAAGCGUGGGUAGCAAACAGGAUUAGAUACCCUGGUAGUCCACGCUGUAAACGAUGACAACUCGUUGUCGGCGAUACACAGUCGGUGACUGAGCGAAAGCGAUAAGUUAUCCACCCGGGGAGUACGAUCGCAAGGUUGAAACUCAAAUGAAUUGACGGGG
This 393-nucleotide ribosomal RNA is filed under the name uncultured bacterium. Its description in RNAcentral is "partial 16S ribosomal RNA". It matches the Rfam family "Bacterial small subunit ribosomal RNA", at positions 523 to 918 of the family's 1533-position model. The record is from RNAcentral.